This is a long non-coding RNA of Chenopodium quinoa (quinoa), 1218 nucleotides long. RefSeq lists it as uncharacterized. NCBI's taxonomy places the organism in Eukaryota, Viridiplantae, Streptophyta, Magnoliopsida, Caryophyllales, Amaranthaceae. The record is from RefSeq and is a predicted model, not a curated record. The transcript is spliced from 4 exons.
AAAAAAAGAGACAUAAAGACUUUUGAAUUCAAUGGGGGUAAAUAUGUAAAAGAACAUUUAUAGGGAUAUAAAUGUCCAUGCACUAUUCAUAAGAGUAUUGUUUCACUUUUUAUAAGGUAAGGAAAAAGAAAUACAAAAAAAACACAAUAACUUGUUGCUGCAAAAAAAAAAAAAAAACAAGAACUAUCAUACCUACACUACAUUCUCUUCUUGACUUCUUCAUUCCUCAAAAAACAUAUCAAAUUUACCCUAAUAAAAUCGCUUGAAAAUAUCAAAUUUCCCCAAUUUUGUGCGCUGAAUCUCUACAACCUCUUUCAAUAUUAAUCCCGAAUCUUUGUUUGAAGAACCCCAAACAUUGAAUUUGUUGCCCUUUUGCUGAACUUGCUCUUAAAAUUUGCUUAAUUCUUCAAGUUUUUUGUGAAUUUCAAUCGACCCAUACAAUUUGCCGAAUUUCCUCAUCCUUAGAAUUGUCUUGCUCCACUAAGGUGUGUUGCGGGUUGUUGUUGUGUCUUGCUGGGGUUGGUAGCUACUGCACCUGAUGGGUUAUGGUUUGUUGACUAUACUGUUAGCGGAAAUAUCUCGAAAUCUUGGAAGGCACACUACAACCAUCCAUACAUGAAUUGGGCCGAGGUGCCACUUAUGGUUAGGGAUCAUUGGUUAACUAAGUUUUAGAUUAGCUCAGACAAAGUCUACUUAGAGUUUGUAGGUGGGCAAAAGAAAGGAAAAGUUUACGGUUUAGGGAGCGCUUCACAAAUGUACUUCAAGAACGACCCUACUUUUCACCCUACUACAUCAUCUUCCAUUCCUCCCAUGAUUUCUCAACUAAGCUCUCAAGUUGAAGAAUUAAAGAAGAUAGUGGAAGAAAACCAUGACAAGGCAGAAGAAAGCAAAAAAUGGCGGCAUAAAGCUUAUAUGCCAAGGAAAUUGCUGAAAGUCAUGAGAUAGAAAAGGCAAAAUGGAAGAAGGAAAAAAUGGCUAUGCACAAAAAUUGAAGGUUAUGAAAACACUUGUCUAACAUUAUUGUCCUACUAAGCCUCCUACGCCUACUGUCACCUCAUCUCAUGAUAUAACUAUGUGAUUUUUAUUUUCUUGGUGAUUUUUGAAAUAAUUAGUCAUAUGGUUUAGACUAUCUUUUUUGAUACGUAGUUAAUCUAUUGGAUAUUUGAAUAAAAUUGACAUUUUGGUUAUCUGAAUUUAUGCUUUGGGGUUUUUAUUUUA